AGAGUUUGAUCAUGGCUCAGAUUGAACGCUGGCGGCAGGCCUAACACAUGCAAGUCGAACGGUAACAGGAAACAGCUUGCUGUUUCGCUGACGAGUGGCGGACGGGUGAGUAAUGUCUGGGAAACUGCCUGAUGGAGGGGGAUAACUACUGGAAACGGUAGCUAAUACCGCAUAACGUCGCAAGACCAAAGAGGGGGACCUUCGGGCCUCUUGCCAUCAGAUGUGCCCAGAUGGGAUUAGCUAGUAGGUGGGGUAACGGCUCACCUAGGCGACGAUCCCUAGCUGGUCUGAGAGGAUGACCAGCCACACUGGAACUGAGACACGGUCCAGACUCCUACGGGAGGCAGCAGUGGGGAAUAUUGCACAAUGGGCGCAAGCCUGAUGCAGCCAUGCCGCGUGUAUGAAGAAGGCCUUCGGGUUGUAAAGUACUUUCAGCGGGGAGGAAGGGAGUAAAGUUAAUACCUUUGCUCAUUGACGUUACCCGCAGAAGAAGCACCGGCUAACUCCGUGCCAGCAGCCGCGGUAAUACGGAGGGUGCAAGCGUUAAUCGGAAUUACUGGGCGUAAAGCGCACGCAGGCGGUUUGUUAAGUCAGAUGUGAAAUCCCCGGGCUCAACCUGGGAACUGCAUCUGAUACUGGCAAGCUUGAGUCUCGUAGAGGGGGGUAGAAUUCCAGGUGUAGCGGUGAAAUGCGUAGAGAUCUGGAGGAAUACCGGUGGCGAAGGCGGCCCCCUGGACGAAGACUGACGCUCAGGUGCGAAAGCGUGGGGCGCAAACAGGAUUAGAUACCCUGGUAGUCCACGCCGUAAACGAUGUCGACUUGAAGGUUGUGCCCUUGAGGCGUGGCUUCCGGAGCUGACGCGUUAAGUCGACCGCCUGGGGAGUACGGCCGCAAGGUUAAAACUCAAAUGAAUUGACGGGGGCCCGCACAAGCGGUGGAGCAUGUGGUUUAAUUCGAUGCAACGCGAAGAACCUUACCUGGUCUUGACAUCCACGGAAGUUUUCAGAGAUGAGAAUGUGCCUUCGGGAACCGUGAGACAGGUGCUGCAUGGCUGUCGUCAGCUCGUGUUGUGAAAUGUUGGGUUAAGUCCCGCAACGAGCGCAACCCUUAUCCUUUGUUGCCAGCGGUCCGGCCGGGAACUCAAAGGAGACUGCCAGUGAUAAACUGGAGGAAGGUGGGGAUGACGUCAAGUCAUCAUGCCCCUUACGACCAGGGCUACACACGUGCUACAAUGGCGCAUACAAAGAGAAGCGACCUCGCGAGAGCAAGCGGACCUCAUAAAGUGCGUCGUAGUCCGGAUUGGAGUCUGCAACUCGACUCCAUGAAGUCGGAAUCGCUAGUAAUCGUGGAUCAGAAUGCCACGGUGAAUACGUUCCCGGGCCUUGUACACACCGCCCGUCACACCAUGGGAGUGGGUUGCAAAAGAAGUAGGUAGCUUAACCUUCGGGAGGGCGCUUACCACUUUGUGAUUCAUGACUGGGGUGAAGUCGUAACAAGGUAACCGUAGGGGAACCUGCGGUUG
This 1522-nucleotide ribosomal RNA is filed under the name metagenome. RNAcentral's name for it is "bacterial SSU rRNA". It matches the Rfam family "Bacterial small subunit ribosomal RNA". The record is from RNAcentral.